AAGCAGUCCAAGGGAUUAUAAAUCUGGUAUUCUAUGGAGAAUGUCUACAUAACUGUAGAUUGCAUCCCUGUUGUUCUGCUCAUUCACAUUUAUUUCUCAAAAAUACCUCUGCUUUUCAGAAAGAACAGUGUAUACAGGGGGUAAUCCUCCAUCAAAUGGAAACAAGCAUUCUAUGGGCUGCUCACAUAUGGAAAGAGAAAAAUAGAGAUGGUGAUGUUUCAGAGUCUAGCGUUUCCGUUACAAAGACUCAGAAUAACUACAAAGUGAGGCUGAAUGUGAGAUGGAGCUCCUUUCAAGUAGGUUGCCUGUUGAGGCUAUGCUGCUGAGAUCCCUUACAUCCUAAUGUCAGGAGAUUCAUUAGUCCUUGACUAAUCAAAAAGGAUCUUCACAUGUAUAUUUAAUGAAGAAAUAAGACCUUCUUUAGAACAAAGCAGAUAUUUCAUCCCCUUUUUCUGAAUGAGGGCAAAUACAGUCAACUUCACUUCCGCUUUCUGUCCACUCUGUCCCUCUGACAGUGUAUGAUGCUGGAAUGCCU
This 535-nucleotide long non-coding RNA is filed under the name Phasianus colchicus (ring-necked pheasant). Its description in RNAcentral is "lncRNA (ENSPCLG00000001897.1)". The record is from RNAcentral. Lineage: Eukaryota; Metazoa; Chordata; Aves; Galliformes; Phasianidae.